UACGUAGGACCCGAGCGUUGUCCGGAUUUACUGGGUGUAAAGGGUGCGUAGGCGGAUAGGUGCGUCAGAGGUGAAAUUUCCCGGCUUAACUGGGAGGAUGCCUUUGAUACGGCUUGUCUUGAGUGCGAAAGAGGAUGGUGGAAUUCCUGGUGUAGCGGUGAAAUGCGUAGAUAUCAGGAGGAACACCAGUGGCGAAGGCGGUCAUCUGGUUCGCAACUGACGCUGAGGCACGAAAGCGUGGGGAUCAAACCGG
RNAcentral lists this ribosomal RNA (253 nucleotides) under uncultured bacterium. RNAcentral describes it as "partial 16S ribosomal RNA". It matches the Rfam family "Bacterial small subunit ribosomal RNA", at positions 524 to 776 of the family's 1533-position model. The record is from RNAcentral.